GCGGUCGUCGUCCAGUCUGGUCUAGGACAUAAGCCCUCCAAGCUUGUAACCAGGGUUCAAAUCCCUGCGACCGCA
RNAcentral lists this transfer RNA (75 nucleotides) under Nitrososphaerota archaeon. RNAcentral describes it as "tRNA-Gly". It matches the Rfam family "tRNA". Rfam says of the family: Transfer RNA (tRNA) molecules are approximately 80 nucleotides in length. Their secondary structure includes four short double-helical elements and three loops (D, anti-codon, and T loops). Lineage: Archaea; Thermoproteati; Nitrososphaerota. The record is from RNAcentral.